AUUGAACGCUGGCGGAAUGUUUUACACAUGCAAGUCGAACGGCAGCACGGACUUCGGUCUGGUGGCGAGUGGCGAACGGGUGAGUAAUGUAUCGGAGCGUGCCCAGUCGUGGGGGAUAACGUAGUGAAAAUUACGCUAAUACCGCAUACGAUCUAUGGAUGAAAGCGGGGGAUCGAAAGACCUCGCGCGAUUGGAGCGGCCGAUAUCAGAUUAGGUAGUUGGUGGGGUAAAGGCCCACCAAGCCAACGAUCUGGAGCUGGUCUGAGAGGACGACCAGCCACACUGGAACUGAGACACGGUCCAGACUCCUACGGGAGGCAGCAGAGGGGAAUUUUGGACAAUGGGCGAAAGCCUGAUCCAGCCAUUCCGCGUGCAGGAUGAAGGCCCUCGGGUUGUAAACUGCUUUUGUACAGAACGAAAAGGUUUCUACUAAUACUAGGAGCUCAUGACGGUACUGUAAGAAUAAGCACCGGCUAACUACGUGCCAGCAGCCGCCGUAA
RNAcentral lists this ribosomal RNA (500 nucleotides) under uncultured bacterium. RNAcentral's name for it is "partial 16S ribosomal RNA". It matches the Rfam family "Bacterial small subunit ribosomal RNA", at positions 30 to 523 of the family's 1533-position model. The record is from RNAcentral.